UUGACAGCAUGAUUUCACCUUCUUUAUUAGCAGUGCAGUGACCUCUCACCCCACAAUGGCGUGGGUUCAUUUACCAACAAUUACAAAUCACAUCACGGACACACGGGUCUAUGGAUCUUUCAGUAUGGCGUCUUACUGCGGAGAGACACAUUGACAGGAAGCAAACAGGAAGUGGGGAACAGAAAUCAGCUGAGAGGAAGGAAGGAGUUGAACAUUGUGUUUAUACGGUGAAGAGAACGUGACCUGGGAUAGAAGGUGAGUGGACAGAGACGAUCCCAUGAUGCCGUUCAGCCAGACAGAUCCCAGUUUACAGCUUCCAGCAGGGGGGAGGAAAUGACCACAACACAGGAAGUUACAUAGCAGCUCUUCCUCUUCCUAUUGGUUGAGAGGGCAUUGACCUCCACUGUGGAGAGUUAAGGUCCUACCUAUGAGCAGUGGAUCAGACCAUAGCUGAUUACUGACCCCACUCGUCUCUCUCAGGUCCAGUCCCGUCCCCCAGUCUCUCUCGGGUCCGGUCCCCAGUCUCUCUCGGGUCCGGUCCCCAGUCUCUCUCGGGUCCGGUCCCCCAUCUCUCUCGGGUCCGGUCCCCCGUCUCUCUCGGGUCCGGUCCCCAGUCUCUCUCGGGUCCAGUCCCGUCCCCCGUCCCCCUCAGGUCCAGUCCCCAGUCUCUCUCAGGUCCGGUCCCGUCCCCACCAGAGCCAGCCAGUCAGUGCCGCGUGGCCUCUAUCGCCUCCUGGUGGACAGAGUGGAGGUAGUACGGCUCAGGCUGAGCCCAGGGAAGUGAACUGUAGGGGUUCUGGGUGUGGGACCGUAGAGACCCAGGUUACGGGCUGCAGAUGAACGUCUGUGCUGUUUCACACUCGGGAAGGGAGAGAACACCUGACGGGAGGUGGUCCUGGGAUGGUCCUGGGGCACGGAGGGGCAGGAGAGAGGGAGGGAGGGGGUAACGGGGCUGUGGGGGUUAGAGGUGGUCCUGGGAUGGUCCUGGGGCACGGAGGGGCAGGAGAGAGGGAGGGAGGGGGUAACGGGGCUGUGGGGGUUAGAGGGGGUAACGAGGCUGUGGGGGUUGAAGGGG
RNAcentral lists this long non-coding RNA (1075 nucleotides) under Salmo salar (Atlantic salmon). Its description in RNAcentral is "lncRNA (ENSSSAG00000091980.1)". Lineage: Eukaryota; Metazoa; Chordata; Actinopteri; Salmoniformes; Salmonidae. The record is from RNAcentral.